This 609-nucleotide small RNA is filed under the name Pongo abelii (Sumatran orangutan). Its description in RNAcentral is "retained intron". Lineage: Eukaryota; Metazoa; Chordata; Mammalia; Primates; Hominidae. The record is from RNAcentral.
AAAUGGCUGGAGGGGGAUGGGGAUGUUGAAUUUGGAAAUUCGAGGGGACGCUGGUGGACGGAUUGGGUGCAAGGAGUUGGUGUUGAUGGAGGAGCAGGACGCCAGAGUCCCAGCCCUGGAACCAUUCAGAGUGGAGCAGGCACCACCUGUAAUCUACUAUGUCCCUGACUUCAUCUCCAAAGAAGAGGAGGAGUAUUUGCUUCGACAGGUUUUUAAUGCCCCAAAGCCAAAGUGGACCCAGCUCUCUGGGAGAAAGUUACAGAACUGGGGGGAGCCCUCAGGACCCCAUUGCCUUCCCCAGGUGGGCUUCCUCAUCCCCGGGGGAUGGUUCCUGAGCGGCUGCCCCCAUGGCUCCAGCGCUACGUGGACAAAGUGUCAGACCUCAGCCUCUUUGGAGGCCUCCCAGCUAACCAUGUCCUCGUGAACCAGUAUCUGCCUGGGGAGGGCAUCAUGGUAACCACACACCCUCGGCCAGUGUCCCCCCACUCAGACUUCUGAGCUGUGCUGGGGCAGGGGACCCUGUGCCCACCCUCACUCAUUAGGCAGCCACAUCUCCCAAACAGGCAUUCACCUCCCUGUCCCUGGCUUGGGAAGCCCCACUUUGACCCA